This 1571-nucleotide long non-coding RNA is filed under the name Ananas comosus (pineapple). RNAcentral describes it as "long non-coding RNA (ACOM_LNC009847)". Lineage: Eukaryota; Viridiplantae; Streptophyta; Magnoliopsida; Poales; Bromeliaceae. The record is from RNAcentral.
AGGUGAAUUCAAAGAAAGAAAAACUUCAAAUACCAGCCUUAUAGUUUUGCACUUUUUUAUUUUAGUAUUUUAUUGUUAAAGUAUAUCAAUUUAGUACUCCGUGGUUUCAUUUUUCUCUUUUUAUUAUACCCUCCACUAAUUUUUUUCGUUAACUCAGUGACAAAAUUAAAACUAAAAGGUAAUAAAGUAAUAUUCGAUAAAAUUUAAGUGGGUAUCUGAAAUUUUGUAUAUAAUUUAACGAAAUGUUAAUGGAGGAGCUGACGAAAAGAGAAAAAUAAAACUAUAAGAUACUAAAAUGAGAAAGUACGAAACCAUAGGGAUGGUAUUUAAAGUUACCCUUAAAAGUAUUAACAAACCAAGGUUAUAAAAAGCAGAUAGUGGGUACAUAGCAUUUGCGGAUAUCAAAGUGGAUAUCAGACAGCAAGUGUUGUGGCGACCGCUAUGAAUCCAUAGCAAGAUUUAUGAUAAAUUAUUUAAAUGCUUUUAUUCUAACUGCAUUUGUAUUUAAAAUAAUAAUAGUAAUAAUAUGCUAAGCUAGUUUAGGCAUAGAAGUAUAACAGUUUUUAAUUUUUCUAUAUUUAUAUCUAAAGUAUUUCUACUUAGUGAUCGUUAGUAGCUGCGGUGAUGCUUGAUAGCCGCUGAUAAAAUAGUGUUGUGACCAUAUUAUUAAUNAUCAUUUUUUAAUUAAUUGAUUUUUAAAUAAAUAGAUUUAUUGAGUACCAGUAUUCAAAGAAAUAGCUCUAUCGAUUUUAACACCCUUUUUUUUAAAAAAAAAAUAGCUCAAGAUGUACCAAUAAUCCCUCUGAGUACUCAACCUAAGUUCCACAAAACCUAAGCAUUUCCCUGUGAAAACUUCGAUUGAGUACCCGUAUUUAAAGAAUCAGUCUCAAUACUGAUGCGGGGAUUUGCAUGCCCACACUGCAGGUUGAUUUUCGAACUUCAUUUUUCACACCAUUUUGGAUCAAAAAUAGUUCUGACUCACCUCAAAUUCUUCCAAAAUCUCCCAGAUGGUGCCAUAAGCCAUUGUACACUGGAUUUUAGUAUAUACUACAUUUAUAAAUUUUAGACAUAUCCGUUAGAAUAGAAUUAUAUUUUUUUUAUUGGAUCCAUAAUGCACAAGGUGAAUUAAAAGAAAGGAAAACUUCAAAUACCACCCUUAUGGUUUUGCACUUUUUUAUUUUAGUAUCUUGUCGGUAAAGUGUAUCAAUUUAGUGCUCCGUCGCUUCAUUUUUCUCUUUUUAUUAUCCUCUCUACUAAUUUUUUUCGUUAAAUCGGUGACAAAGUUAAAACUAAAAGAUAAUAAAGUAAUAUUCUAUAAAAUUUAAGUGGGUAUCUGAAAUUUUGUAUAUAAUUUAACGAAAUGUUAAUGGAGGAGCUGACGAAAAGAGAAAAGUAAAACUAUAAGAUACUAAAAUGAGAAAGUACAAAACCACAUGGGAGGUAUUUGAAGUUUACCCUUAAAAGUAUUAACAAUUCAAGGUUAUAAAAAGCAGAUAGUGGCUACAUAGCAUUUGCGGGUAUCAAAGUAGAUAUCGGACAGCAGGUGUUGUGGCGACCGCUAUGAAUCCAUA